Molecule: long non-coding RNA, 385 nt
Filed under: Theobroma cacao (cacao)
Lineage: Eukaryota; Viridiplantae; Streptophyta; Magnoliopsida; Malvales; Malvaceae
Description: long non-coding RNA (TCAC_LNC000566)
Source: RNAcentral
AAGAAAAUUGAGAAGCAUGUAAUUGGUCAGAAUCUUGCUGAAGUAGACAAAAUUUAGGUCAUCUCAUCAUCAAGAUCCCUUACUUGAGGAAAACAUCAUAUGGUCCUAUCUGGAUGUGCUCCAUGCUUCGAUGUUCAACUUGAGAUUAGAAGGAAUAAGCAGGUCAUUCUUCCCUUUCUUUUUAGUUCUUCAAUAAUGAUACAUGAUGAUUAUACUUCUUAAACUAUCAAGUACUACUAAUCACGAGCUAUUCCUUUAUAACAGCAUUUUCAGCCAAAUUCUUUUUACACCUAGCAGAACUUUUUAGCAACAGCUACCAGAAAGCUAAUAUGUUCAACCCUCAGAGAGUUCUGCGGUAGAUCCUGGCAUCAUCUCAUAGAUUCUG